UGUUUUCCUGUGUUUGUUUUGACCGAGUCGCAUGUCCACGUCAGCUCCGCCUCCACGUCACGCCUACUCCACGUCGGAUCCAGCGGCGGUCAAAACGCUUUCCCCCCACCUCUCGCUCUCUCUCUCUCCCCCGCAGUCGAGCCGCCAUUUCCCCCUCCCGCUCCCGUCCCUCCCAACCCUAGAUCCGGCGGCGGCGGGACGAAUCCCGGCCGUAGCCGCGCAGCCCCGACUAGGCGUCGCUGAGGAGGUCUGCGCAGUCCGGUGCGGCAUCAAGCGGGUCGUCGUCGUCAAGCCAAGUCCGAUUCGAGGGGGGCCAGCCUCGUCGCCGAUUCCGUGUCGAGGGGGGGCCGCUGCAGUACUGGCCGCCUUACCUAUGCCAUUGCGGGAAGCAGGCGGCAAGGUUGAUUUCCUGGAGCGAUGAGAACCCUGGGAGGAGGUAUCUGAAGUGCUUGAGAGCACGGGCUGGGGGCUGUGAGAUGUUCGCCUGGUACGAAGAAUCCACAACGACUCCCUUUGUGAAGCAGCUGCUACGUGAUUUGCGUGACAUGGUCUGGCGUUUGAAAAGGGAGAACGCGAAGCUGUCGAUGGCAGUAGACGAAGCAAGAUUGGAGCUGGGGUAGGUCGGUAAUGUGGGAGAUGCAGAGCUGAUAGCUAUGAAAGAAGAACUGAAACUCAAAGAGCAAGAAGCUGCAACACUGGGUGAUAGAGUUAGGAAACUGGAGAAUGAAAGAUUGGCGCUUCUGUAUGCUUUUGGCUUGCUGUUUGUAGCAUUUGUGAUGUUUAGGGUCAUGUAAUAUCCUUGUGCUCAUGACAUUGGGUCCUUUGAACUACUUGACUAUGUAAUGUGUAACUCUGUUGCUGCUGUUUGUGCAAGGAAUGCAUGUCACAAAUUGUCAGGCAA
Panicum virgatum (switchgrass) is the source of this 901-nucleotide long non-coding RNA. RefSeq lists it as uncharacterized. The record is from RefSeq and is a predicted model, not a curated record. Lineage: Eukaryota; Viridiplantae; Streptophyta; Magnoliopsida; Poales; Poaceae. The transcript is spliced from 2 exons.